ACCACCUAGCUCAGAACUGGUGGCUGGCGGCAGCUCUCCAAGAUUUGAGAAUGGGACAUAACUGAAGAUGCCAGGGAUUGAACCUAGAAUCUUACUCAUGCAAAACAGAUGUUCUACCAUUCGGCUAUGCCCCUUCCCCUAAUGUCUACUAAAAUGGUGGUGUCUGAUUCUUAGGUCUCUGCUUACGGCAAACUUACCAGGUUAGCUAGUAGUCUGUUAGUCUGCCAAUUAUAGUUAUAUACAUAUAUAAUUCUAAUUUGAUUACAUGUGUCGCAUCCGGUCUCUCUUAACAGCAAAACCCUUUUAUUCAUUAGUGAAUAUGGCACUGAAAUUCUUCGCUAGUGGGAAAGAGGCAAAGAAUUUAAUUAACUCAGCAAGUAAAAUGCAUGCAGCGACAAUGAAGUAAAUUCAGAGAAAAUAAAAUUCUAAUAGAAUUUUUUUGUGGUACUGUGAAAAAACAUAAUGGAAGUUGAUUUGAUUUAGAGAUUUCAAUAAACUCAGAAAUAAUGGCCUUGUUAGGAAUUUGUCACUAGGAAAAAAAGAAAUAUUUUGAUGCUACACUUUGGAGAGACAUGAAUAGCUCAUCUCACACAAAUUAAAUUUGGACCUUUAAUAUAUAUUUUUUAUUUUAAAAGUGCAAGUAUUUUGCUCAUAAAAACAUUUAUAGUUUUAAUUCAGCUGAGGAUUGUGUUUGUGUGAUACACCACACACUGAUCGAAAAUAAAAGGACAGCAAAUAAAUCAAAAGGCAGCACAACUGAAAGUGGUUAAAUUCUGUUAACAAGUAAUUAAAUGUACGGCAGCGAGAGCAAAGAUGGUGGGUUACUCUUCUUGUGAUGACCAAUGAUUUUCAGCUAAUAAAUUUGACUAACUGACUUGAUUUGAUCCUUAACAGGCACCAGAUUUUGUGCAAGAUGUGACAUUCUUAGACAGCUGGCAAAGGGUUACCACAAUGCUAUCAAAUGAAAUAUCUGACUGGAAAAUUGCCCAGAAGACACUUCCCUGCUUUCUACAACAUGGUGUGCAGGUUGUCCUGGGUGGGGUAGAGAUCCUUUUGAAGCAAAUGUAUAAACACAAAUUACCAAACACACAUCUGUAUAUGUCAUUACCUUUAACAGAAAUAGUUCCUGUCCAAGCAAGGUUGACUUGCCUAUUACCUUAUUAAGCUGAAAUUGCUCAUAGAUUUGCAUAAGAAAUAGGGAACUAUUUCAUGUGGCAGCUUGUUUGGAUACCAUUUUAAUAGUGUGUAUCUCAGCAAUUUGCCUUUGACAACAAAAAUAAUAAUAAAUGUUGUUUACAGCAAAGUCUAGAUUAUCCUGUAACCUUAAAUGCCAGUGGAUGAAAGACUUUGACCUUGUACUAUUGAAUUAGGUAGACUUUUGUCCAUGCAUGUUUCUGUGAACAGACACACUUUCUCCUCAAAAUUGCCAGUGACAUUUUUUAUUGAAAUAGGUCAAUUAUUUCUUGUUAAAAAACAAACAAUCAAGCAGAACACUUGUAUUUCAUGAAAUCCAUUAGUGCUAAGUUGUUGGUUUUUUUGUGGGGGGUGUUUGUUUGUUUGUUUGGGUUUUUUUUUUUGCUAUCAAUGAAAGUGGAAUGUUUUUCAUAAAUGUAUUAUAAGGUUAUAGGUGCUCAAUAGGUCAGGAAAAAAAAUAAGUACAAUGGCUUCAUUGAAUUAUGUGAACAAAUAGCAAUUAAGGAAACAAAACCAACAAAAUACAUAGAUACUUUUGAUAUAUGUUUAGAGACAGUCAGUGUUGGUUAUCUAGAGUGUGUCUGAGGGUGAGUGAGAAAGACAAAGAGAAUUUAAUGCAUCUAUUGUUAUUUGAUGGUAUAGAAACACUAUAGAAUACCAGAUUCUACCUUUAACUGUACUAAUUAGAAGUGUGUUGUUGUUACUGUUACUGUUACUGUUACUGUUACUGUUACUGUUACUGUUAUUUUGGGGGUGUUAAAAUUAUCUGAUCAGUCAUAGAUUGGGUGAGCAAAAGAAAUUGCUUUGAACUGUUCAGGACAGCUUGCUUUCCUCAAAAGUUUUGAAGACACCCCUUCCCCUGAAAGCAGGAGAAAAUUAGUCCCUUUUUUCAGGGGGGAAAUAUGGUACUUUUGGAAAAGUAUGGAGGGAAGUUUCUGCCAACCUUGGAACCAAUUCCUUAAGAGGGGCGAUGGCUCCUGCCUCCCUAUCCCUACCCUCCUUCUUUGUGGCCAAAUUAAAGUACUUUUUCAGUUCUUCUAAAGGUAAAAUCGGUUAUCUGGCUUGCCACCUCCCUUUAUUUGGAAAACCACUAACAAGGAGUCCAGGUGGCACAGAAAAACCUUGGGGGAGUUGUAUGCAGCUUGUGUACUGAAGGUUAGCUGUUCCUUUAUUAGGGCUGGGGUCUAAUCUCAGUGGCAGAAUUUCCAGAUAAAAAGUGGUGAGGUGACUCUGACUGAAUCCUUGGAGAGCUACUGCAAGUCAAUGUAGGCCAGGAGUGACCAGUGAGCUUCCUUGGAAUAAUAUUCCAUAAUUGGGGUCCUGCAACUGAGGAGGGCCUCUCCCCAGUUGCCACACACUUCACUUUUGUCAGGGACUGUGCUGAGGAGGGCUGCACUGUAAUGGUGGCAGCCUUCCCCUUCUCCUGCUCCUGAAUGGCUUGCAGAGGGGCAUAGUUCAGAAGGCAGAAGCUGGGAAAUACUGGAUGGGGAACAGCUAGGAAAAAAACACUGGGAGAGAGAGGUUUAACAGAUUUACAGUCUCUGGAUAGCAUUUCUCCGCUCAGCCCAAGGUCGAGAAGUGCGCAGAAAGUCUCAGUACAGAAAGCACAGAGGGUACAAGCUCAGAUUACAAGACAUAGGAGUGAAAUAGAUCAAUAGGGACUGGAGGGGUGUAAGCCUUAAUUGGGAGUACCGCCAUUCUGGGUUGACACUUUUUGUCCUUUGCUGUUUUUAUUAGAGAAAAUAACUGGUAAGAAUUCCUUUAGUUUGAUCUCCUCAUAUAUGGCCAUGGGAGAGGAAGUCAAUUCAAGGAAGCCUGACAACUUUGCAUACUCACAAGGCUAUGGGAAGCACUCAAACUGCAUGCUUACAAAGGUCUUGAAGUUCUGUGAAUGAAGUUACUUCAUUAGUAACAAAAACCUCAAUGCUUGUCAAGUCCCAGUGGCACAACUGCUUGUGCUAACUCAAAUAUUUUGUUUCAGAUUAUUGUAGCAGCAAUGAGAAAAUGGUCCAGUCUGAAUGGUAAAUUUGUUUCGGAUGAAAAUCAAAAGCAGAAUCCUUGCUGACCUGCUAAAUGUGUGCUACACCUUUCUAUUUAAAAGCUAUCUGCAGUCAUGAUGUCUGUUUAUUUUUUCAGAAGAUAUGCUCAAGACCAUAUUGAGCAGCGUACAUAUUCAUACUGCUAAAUCCAAAAUGGGAUGCUUCUGCCUUUGAUAGAAGUGCAUAAUUCCACCAUGGGUGAUAAAUCAGCCAAGAUCUAUCUGUGCAAUCCAUCACACAGAUGCAACAAAUUCACACUAAAUGAUAGCUUAGUUCAAAAACUAAUAUGAGAGCUUUUGGGAUCACAUGUCUCAUUCAUAAAUCUUUAGGCACAUCAUAACUCCUUUAUGAAAAACCAUAUAAAAGGAAGAAAAUUUCAAAUGCAUUAUCUCAAGACUUCAUAAAUAUUUAGGCUGCAAUGCUAUCACACUUAUUUAGAAUUAAGUCCCACUGAAUUCAAUGAUACAUUCUCUCAAAAUAUGGGCUAUAAACGGGUGUCUACUUAGGAAGUUGUAGGUAUUUAUGGAAGGGAAAAAAUAGUGCCCAGUGGCACCCCAUAGCAAAGCAUAACUACUGAAGCCCCCCUAAAGCAUUCUCCUAGUCAUGCUUUCUGGACCCGGUUCCAUAGCCAGGGCUGGAAUUACUAGAACACAGUGUCCCGAAUUCCUAUUCCACAGAGCCAGUACAGGAAGAAGCUGAUCAAUGGUAUCAAAAGUUGCAAAGAGACUGAGAAGCAAGAGCAAGGCCACACUCCCCUUGUCAUGCUCUCUGUAAAGGUCAUCCCAGCACAACUAGAAGCAUCAUAUUAGAUAUGGGGAAGAAAUGGUGAAUCUACCUAAUCUGCGCUUUCUGAGACAAUGUGUGAAAUGAGGCACAGCUGUUCUUUGAAAUUCACACUUUCCUGAAUUUUUCAAAGCAGUUUUGCAACCAAGCAAUAUGUACAAAAAUGCACAUAGUCGGGUGCAUACAAAAGCAUGUAUGUGUGAAAAAAAGCAUACAAAAUGCAUUCUAUUAGGGGGGAAAUGCUUGUGGAAGCCAUAUGUACCAGAAAAAAUUGGCACAAAAAUGGUGGUGAAUUUUCAUGGGAACUUUAAAAACCCACAAGCUGAUAUGGAAAUAUGGAUGACUGAAUUUAAGGUUGGAAAAAUGAGGCACUAAUAAAACAAAAAUUGAAAAGCUGAACAUCCAGCGUGGCUUCCACGGCUUCCAAUUGGCUGCAGGACACUCCUGCAGCCAAUCGGAAGCUGCGCCUUGGUUUCUGAACAUUUCGGAAGUCAAACGGACUUCUGGAAUGCAUUCUGUUCAAAAACCAAGGUACAACUGUAUUCACCUAAAGGUUUUCAGCAAAGGUUUUCUGUGGGGAAGGAAUUCCAGUUUUGGGGUUAAUGUAACACUUUAGAACAUGGGUAGGGAAACUAAGGCCCGGGGGCCGAAUCCGGCCUAAUCGCUUUCUAAAUCCAGCCCGCGGACGGUCCAGGAAUCAGUGUGUUUUUACAUGAGUAGAAUGUGUGCUUUUAUUUAAAAUGCAUCUCUGGGUUAUUUGCGGGGCCUCCCUGGUGUUUUUACAUGGGUAGAAUGUGUCAUUUUAUUUAAAAUGCUUCUCUGGGUUAUUUGUGGGACAUAGGGAUUUGUGCAUUAUUAUUUUUUUCCAAAAUAUAAUCUGGCCCCCCACAAGGUCUGAGGGACAGUGGACCGGACCCCUGUUGAAAAAGUGGAGGAUUCCCAUUGCAGAAGCUGUACUCAUAUAUCACAGGAUAUCUGGGCAUGAUGCAAAGUGAAGUACGAACAAGUUGACCACUGUUUCAUUUUCUCAUAACUCCUCUGGGUCUUCAUUCUUCAGUAGGGUCAUGAUAAAACUUGCAACCUCCACAAGCAAGCAGGCAGAGUCAUGGCUCUCCCCUGGUGGCUUCUGCCACCGCCUUCCAUUGGGAUGCCCUAGUGGCCCAAGUGCCAGAAGGAGGUAUAAUUCGCUGAGAAAGUCACCUACCUGGGGGGCGAGGCCAUGCUUGAAGGGCGAAAAACACAACAAUACCUUGACCACAGGUGGCCAUGCAGGUCAUUAUAGGAAACCUUAUUGCAACCACCUUUGCUACUCUGCCUUGUCUGGACCAAAAGGAUGUGGAGGUGCUGGAAGCCACACCUUCAAAUGAAGUUCAGGGCUGGAAGGAUGGAAUUUGUGGUGGAUUCCGGCAGUUUCACAAAUAGUAUAACCACAAUGUGUCUCUCCACCCCACCCCCUUGCAGCAAGCUAGCUUAUUAUGAAGGCUUUCAAAAGAGGCACCAUGCUAGGUAACUGGGAGAUUUCCUGUUCUGCAUAAGUGGAUAAUAUUUCAAGGUGGAGACCAGAAUAUUUUUGCUAAUUUUAACACUGAGAGUUUCCGGGAAAUGGUUCCCUGCUUGCUUUUAGACUCUCCUGUCCAUGAUGAUGAUUCUGUUUCAAUAAUAAAAUAUAUAAAAAGUUAAAAAUAAAUCUUGCAGUUAGGAUAUAUAAAGUAGUCAUCCCAAUUACUAAAAAUUAUACUUAUGCUGCUUAAUUCUGCAUUUCAGUAGUGUUUAAUAUGUUUAAAGUUGCUGCUCCUCUAUAGUGUCAUUCUUUUCUCUUUUUUUGUACUUCUUAUCCUAAACCAGUGUUCUUCGGCCUCAAAUCUGUGGAUGUUGGGAUUACAAUGCUCACCAUCCCUGACCACUGGCUAAACCAACUGGGGAUGAUGGGAACUGCAGUCCUUCUACAGACCCAAAGCUGAAGAGCCAUGUCCUAAGUCAUGCUUGAUAAAUAUUGCCAUUUGAUUUGUGAUGAUAAUUCCCAUGAUUGUGUUUGGUGAAAUUUUUGACUGCAGCAUUAUCACUAAAUAAGGUAAGCCACUCCAGUCAAUCAGAUUGAAUGUGAGUGUGGGAAAAUAAGCCUGAGCACAUUGGGAUCAGGGAGAACAUAGGACUACAACUGAUUGAAACUAAGAAUGCCUGCAUUUGGAUAUCCUGAAAAACUAUUAUUUAUUGUGAUGUGAAUGAAACUAGCCUCCUCCAGACUCACAUGUUUCCCUUUCCUCUUUUCCUCCAGUGGGACCACCGGAAUUUUUACUUCCAAUUUUGAUUAACAGAAGGUCAGAGUUAAGUCCCCACCCCAAAGUGUGUGGUAAAGCUAAAUUAUUGUUUGCUUGAAACAAACCAGCUUCACAAACCAUGGGUUGAAGUUGGCUUGUUUCAAGCAAACCAUAAUUAAGAUUAACUACAAUUAGUCCAUAAUUAAGAUUAACUGCAAUCUGGAUGACCUAGCAAACUCUCUUUAGUACAGUGGUACCUCAGGUUACAUACGCUUCAGAUUACAGACUCCGCUAACCCAGAAAUAGUGCUUCAGGUUAAGAACUUUGCUUCAGGAUGAGAACAGAAAUCGGGCUCUGGCGGCACAGCAGCAGUGGGAGGCCCCAUUAGCUAAAGUGGUGCUUUAAGGUUAAGAACAGUUUCAGGUUAAGUACAGACCUCCAGAACGAAUUAAGUACUUAACCUGAGGUAGCACUGUAAAAGAAAAGAGAAAGAAAAAAAGGGAAACCUUUUAAACUCCUCCAUGUGGGUGCACUAGGCAAAGAGUUGAGAAGGGUGUGUGUUUGAAUCUGAGGGGCACAAGCGGGUCUAGGCUCAUUCCUGAGGCAAUAAAUUGCAAUAAACAUGGACAUUUAGAAAUACAACAUGCCUUUCUGAAGCGCUGGGAGAUGCUCUCUGACACUCACAAAAAUAAACAUAAAAGCAAGCAAGCAAUUUUAGCUCAGCCCCGGAUUUGAGCUGUUUGCUGCAGUUAAGGUCUUGUACUAAUCUGCACGCUGCCAACUUGCUGUCUAACUUUGCUUUGCAGGUAGGAGAUGCAAAAGAUUAAAUUCCUGAAGCAGCAAGCUGUGAGAUGUUGGCGACCAGAUGGGGGAACUUGACAUGAAUGAUGUACACAAUGUAAUAUAACCCCAGACAUCUGAAGCUCCUGCAGUACUUAGACUCAACUGGGUGAGUCAAAGUCACAAAAGGGUAAUCCUUGCCCAUGAUAUAGUACUGUGAGAGCUGCCUGCUCAGGUCUAUAAGCAAUGAUUAUAACCCAUGUGAUUUAUUUUCCCUUCAGUCAGCAUAAAAAAACAGCUUAUUGAUUUCUUUCUCUCCCCACUGCCCCUACCCAUAUUGCUGAUUAUUAUGUAGCAAUUUCCUAACCUCUUCCCAGUUCAGCAGAGAAUACUUACUAUUUGCUAAAUUGAUAUCCCACCUUUUUCUUUAUAGAUUUAAUAAGUAUUCUCUCUUCAUAUACCUCAUAAGGAUGGUCUCUCUCUCCUCAAUUAUCUGUUUUGCUCAUGCAUUCCGUUUGUGGAUGAUGUAAAACAAAAUGAUUGCAAACACCAAUAUGCCAAGAUAUUCCAAUAUUGUAAACUGUGGGGAAGAUGCAACAAAAUGGAAUCUAACGAAGGCAAUCUAAAGUGCUGAAACAGGAGGCCAAUGAAUAGAAGAAACUCAGACUUUAUCCAGCCCAUUACUUGUCAGUAGGGAGGGGGGUCAUUCAAGUAGUAGCCUCCCUAUAAGCAGAGAGAAGGAGCACCAAUGUCUGCAAAGAAAAGCAACUUUCUAGUCCUCAUCACUGUGUGGAAAGAGCAUAAAACAGAGAAUAUUAACAAGGAAAUGCGGAAACCAGAAUGCAAUUUAAAAGGAACACACAAACACACACGUACAUAUAUUUUAAUACUUUCUUGGGGCUUUAAUUAAUAAAUUAGAACAUUUGGUAGCCAGAAGGACCGGCAUUAUUGAUAGGCAAUUCAGCCCGUAUGACAGGUGGUAGAAUUCAUUUUAUGUUCAAAAUAGACUGCUGAUCAGUGACGGAUGAAGCAAGGAAAGGAUUGUCUGUAGCCAGUUGAAGAAAUGAAUCAACUCCAAAACAAAAAGCAAGCAACACCCUUGUUCCCAAAAAUGGCUGGGAUCCAAGAUCUAUUGGGGCUCAUCCAAGAGUCUUGUGGCAUCCCAAUAUAAUUAUGAAGGUCCCCCCCCCCCUUUGAACACCUGCCAUUAGGUUUGUGUGCUUGUGUGUGUGUAUGUUAAAAUGCUUUUGAAACUUCUCAUAGUUUGUCCUGCAACAUGGGAAGGUCAGUUUUUCAAGGAAAAGCAUCUCUAACCAGAACAAGACAAAGAAAUGAGGUGUAUAGGCAGGAGGAGAAGGUCUCCCAUUGCAUGGCAUGGAAAAUAGUCUGAUGCAGUCCAGUGGACCAAAGUAACCAGCAGAGUUUGGGGCUAAGAGAUAGCAAGGAAUAGCCCCCCCCCAAAAAAAGAAUCUGCUUUGUGUGUCUUUCAAAGACAUGAAGCCAUAAUAAUAAUAUCUUAUUUAUACCCCGCCCUCCCCGGCCAAAGCCAGGCUCGGGGCGGCUAACACCAGUAAAAUUACAGUAAAAACAUAAGGGGGGGGGACCCAUUUAAAAUACAGGUGAAAAUGCAAUUUCAAAUGCAGCCUCAUUUUAAAAGUAGCCCAUAGAUCAAAACCAUAAGAGGAGGGAAAUAUAAGGGUCACACUGAGUCCAAACCAAAGGCCAGGCGGAACAGCUCUGUCUUGCAGGCCCUGUGGAAAGAUGUCAAGUCCCACAGGGCCCUAGUCUCUUGUGACAGAGCUUUCCACCAAGUCGGGGCCAGUACUGAAAAAGCCCUGGCUCUAGUUGAGACCAAUCUAACCACAUUGCUACCUGGGACCUCGAAAAUGUUGUCAUUUGUCGGCCUUAAGGUCCUCCGUGGGGCAUACCGUCCCCUAGGUAUGUGGGUCCUAGGACGCAUAGGGCUUCCAGGAAUAGAAUUUGCCCAACUUUCAAGUGAAAAAUCAUUUUUGCCAUAAUGUGGGUCCUAAAAAGGGGGCACACAUUCUCCCACUGUUGUUGUUGUUGUUAAAAUUUGAAUGCAGCCCUUCAUCUGAGGAUCACAGCGUGGUUUACAAUAUGAACACAUAAAAUAGUAGCAAACAAAACAACAACACCUCCCCCCCCCCCAGUUUAAAAGGUCCUAGAUUGUUUAAUGAGCCCAAGGCCUGGAGGAAGAGGAAAGUUUUUGCAUGACACCUAAGACAUGUGACCAAGGCACCAGGCGAGCCUCCCUGGGGAGAGCACUCCACAAAUGGGGAGCCACUGCAGAAAAAGCCUGUUCUCGGGUCUCCACCUUCCAAACCUCUCAUGGAGGGGGCACACAAAGAAAGGCCUCAGAUGAUGAUUGCAGGGUCUGGGUCGGUUCAUAUGGGGAGAGACACUCCUUGAGGCAGGGGAAGCACAAGCAGGAAGACAGGAAGUGCUCUGCCACUGCUGCCACUGCCAUCACCACCAACCACUUUUUUUUCUCUUUUAUGCUGGCUAAACAUUUGUUUUUCAGCAGACAAAGAUACUUUACUUAGUGAAGUUCUGUCAGACUCCUUCCUUUCCCCAGAGCUACAACUGUUUUGUACAAAGAUACGGCAACUUGGGCUUUCAGAGGAUCUUCUGGGUGCUGUGGCUUUUCCAACCACCAAGGCCAUGUUAAAACACUAGGCUGUAGGACAUAAAUUGCCAGGAACUAAUUUCAGCUGUGGAAAAACCAUGUUCCCCUCUUUAUUUUCGACUCUCUUGGAUGCAGGAAUUUAACCUCAAUUAUCUACAAUUUUUGUUUAACCCGCAAGAAAGAAGGGCUUUGUCGCUGGCUAGGUUCAAUUCUAAUCCUUCGAACCUCCUUUGGGGUAGGUUCACGGGUAUGGCCGAGGGAGAUAGGAUCUGCCCAUGUGAUGCCCAUCUGGUGGAAACUCUAGCUCACAUGGUCCUUAAAUGUAAAAUGUAUGAUGAUCUCUGCCAACAAUUCUUAGACCAACUAUGUAUCCCAAUAUGGAGACCAGAGACAGAGGUCAUACGCUUCUUAUUACAGGGGAGAGACCAAGAGCUCACCAAGACAGUAACUAAGUUCCUCUAUUUGAUUUUCUGCCACCGAAGUACGCUACAGGACCCUGCCCUUGCUGGAGACCCACAGAGGUGAAAUAGAUUGCUCACCUCUUCUUCCCUUUGGCAAAUGACUGUACUGUUGAAAUGGUGACGAGUUCACACUGGCCUAUUUGUUCUGAAUGUUUGUAAGUGAUGCCAAUAAAGGUUUGAUGAUGA
Podarcis lilfordi (Lilford's wall lizard) is the source of this 10348-nucleotide non-coding RNA. The record is from the annotation of a GenBank genome assembly. NCBI's taxonomy places the organism in Eukaryota, Metazoa, Chordata, Lepidosauria, Squamata, Lacertidae.